GAUGAACGCUGGCGGCGUGCCUAAUACAUGCAAGUCGAGCGAACAGACGCGGAGCUUGCUCCUCGGACGUUAGCGGCGGAGGGGUGUGUAACACGUGUAUAACCUACUUAUAAGUGUGGUAUAACUUCGGGACAGCGGAGCUAAUACCGGAGAAUCUAUUGAACCGCAUGGUGCAAUAGUGAGAGACGGUGUUGCUGUCUCUAAUAGAUGCAUCCCGGCCUCAUGAGCUGGUUGGUAAGUUAACGGCUUACCAAGGGAAGGCUGCGUAGCCGACCUCUGGGGCGGAUCGCCCACACUGGAAGUUGGCCGCGCACCAGCGUCCUACGGGAGGCAGCAGUAGGGUAUCUUCCGCAGUGGGCGAAAGCCUGACGCAGCAACGCCGCGUGAGUGAUGACGGUCUCCCGAUCGUAAAGCUCUGUUAUUAGUGAAGAACAAAUGUGUAAGUAACUAUGCACGUCUUGACGGUACCGGAUCAGAAAGCCACGGCUAACUACGUG
This 497-nucleotide ribosomal RNA is filed under the name uncultured bacterium. RNAcentral describes it as "partial 16S ribosomal RNA". It matches the Rfam family "Bacterial small subunit ribosomal RNA", at positions 28 to 507 of the family's 1533-position model. The record is from RNAcentral.